Molecule: long non-coding RNA, 3833 nt
Filed under: Stegodyphus dumicola
Lineage: Eukaryota; Metazoa; Arthropoda; Arachnida; Araneae; Eresidae
Description: uncharacterized LOC118197977
Source: RNAcentral
UAGAAAAUUUAAAAAUUCUAUUUGAAAAAAUGUAAUAUAUCAUUUUAAAAAUAUACAAACACUAUAGACAUACAUUUCUUGAACUCAAAAAUAAAUAAAAGCAGAAAUUAUACAUAGCAGUUUUAAAGCAACAAACUUUAGCUUAGUUUAAAUACAGUGCAUUUUCUAUUAAAAUUAUCAGAAGUAUCUUAUUUUCCUUUCCUUUCUUUAUCUCUCUCUUGUUUUAAUGUUACUUGUAUAUGCACCUUUAUGCAUGAAUAUGGGUAGAUCUAUUAAUGAAGAAAUACAUCAUCUUAAAACGUGUAUGUUGCUUUGUUUUUAUAAUCAAUGUGAAUCAGAUUUAUCAGUGCUUAAGGUCAGGAAUUAUUUUAAACUCGGCUACAGAGCCAUGGAAGCUGCUCAUAAAGUUCUUGAAGUAAAACUAUCAGAUAACAACCCAGAAAUGGUUCAAAUCCUUUGCGAUUGGUGGUUUCUUGCUUCAUAUUAAGGCUAGAUGUAGCAGGUCAUCAGUCACUGAUUUUUGACACUGAGCUGCACUCAACUAUUACUUAAUACUUGAAAAUUUACAAUAGACUCUAGAUUAUCUAAGGAGAUUAGAUUAAUUAGAUUACACAUGUCAUGCAUUACCCAAGCUGAAGAAGCAUACAGAAAUUGCAAACUGUUUUCCUGCCCUCAUUAUAGAACAAGUAAGUAAAUGAGUGAAAUUUGCAAAAUUUUCCUUGAAAACCUUUUGGAUCUGCAGUUUUUCCAAAUAUAUAAUAACAUAUGACAAGAAAAAGGUUUACAUCAAUUAGAAACAAUGCAUAGAUUGGGGGGGGGGAAAGUAAUAGAAUUUGAUGCAAAGCAGCAAUAAUUAGACGGAAAGGUUAUGCUCAAUAGUUGGUGGAAUUAAGUAAAAACAAAAUUAAAAAUUAUAAGUUGUCAUGCUGAAAUUUAUGUUUAAUAGGGGUUUUCACAGAUGACCUGUCUGCUUCGCCAGCUAGAGCUGGAAUGAAUGGUUGGAUCAAGUUACCCUUCUUUUACUGUUUCCUACAGGGUUACUUGGCAUAUGAUGCUGUAUUUCUCAGGAUUUCAGAUAAAGAGCAGACUAAAAGGAAAUUCUCUGUUGCAACACAGUCUAGUGACAUUAUUAGCACAUGUCUGAUUUCAAGGUGGCUUUUAUGCUGGGAUUUACUGAUGAUUUUUGGUAUUUUCUAUUCAGUUACUGAGUUUGAAUGCUUUAAGAAGUAUUUACUAAAGAUGUACUAUUUUAAGCAUGAGCAUUAACUCAUGCUCAUCAACUCUUGCAUGAUAUUUAGUGACAGGAGUACACUAGCAUUUUUUUUUUCUCAAAAUGUCCAAGUCCAGCUCGAUUGAUGUUAUCUGCAGUUGCACUUCAUAUUCUGCAUUUUAUUUGUCUCGGUAUUUAUUUUGUAGCCAUGUAUGCUGAGAAAGAUUUUUCACUUAAAUACAUUGUUCCGAACGGCAUUAAAAUGUUUAUAACGGUGUAAGAAGCUUCUAGGUAUUCCGCAUGAAUCUGCAACCAAAAAUUUAUGAGCUGCUCUUGCCUAAAUGUAGAUUUUAAUGUCGAAUCCAUUGAUAUCUUGAUAAAUUGCUCCCUUUACUUCAAUGGCAAGCCUUCUGAUUUAUCAUAGUACUCGAACGGACUUUUUAUACAAUAAUAUUCAGUUUUUUUCCUUCUGGGAAAUACUCUUUUAUGGUUUCCUUCAAAUGAAAAAGAUGCUCCGUUAUAUAAUUUUUAAAACAGUCAUCUAAAUGUAAUUCAUUUUGCAUUAGAGAACUGUUUAGUUUUCUAAAGCACUGUCUUUCAUUUUCGUUGACUUAUAUUUUACCGUAGGCAGGUAAGCAAAUGCCUAGGGUAGCAAAACCAACUGAAAUACCAAUAUAUAUAUACAUAAGAAAUUAGAAUAUAGUCUAAGUUCAGUUUAUAAAAAAUACAAAAUAAUAGCAAGUUCAAAAUUAGCGCCUAGUGCUGCUUAAUUUUUAAAUGAAUUUAAAAAGUCAAGAUCAAAAUACCUAACAAAAGCUGUAAGAAUAUUUGGACUCUACCUAUCUCUGUUUCCGAAAUACAUUGCAAAAGAAAUUUUUCUUAUAGUGAACAAAAUGGAACAAUAAACUUUAGAAAAGAAGUUGCUAAAUACAUUAAAAUGGCAGCCUAGAAGUAUAAAAAACAUAGGUUUAUCUCUUUUGUGGUUUGAAGCUUCAUAACACUUUUUUCCCUUGACAAGUUCUGUUUGAAACUCUGAAUAAAAGAGAUUAACCUAUGUUCUUGAUACUCCUAGCUUGUCAUUUUAAUGUAUUUAGCAAUUUUGGUUAUUCGGAGAUGAUUUUUUUUAUAUUCUGAGAUGUACAGUAGACAAGAAGAGACACUUUUCCAAGUUCUGGGUGUCCAAUAAAACAGAGUAAGAUUGAAAACAAUGUCUUAUCUAUGCAAUAGCAUCCAUGGGGUCCAUUUGGAUUGUUAUAGUGAUACAGUUUAUGUAACAAUUACAGAAUAGUGGAUUAGAAAAGUGCUUUUUUGAGGUGCAUUAGUAUUGUUUGUGCCAUCUGCAUGUUUAAUAUCCUAAGUUCACUCAACGACUUUAAACACAGAAUCACAGAAUUUAAAAAAAUGGAGAACAUAUAUCAAGAUAUUAUCUGGUAUAUUCAGUGUCAAAAGAUUCUGUUAUGUUUUUGUUGCAGACAUUUUGGUAAUUCAAAACUAAAUUCAUUUUUAAAUGAAGGUUAAAAUACUGGUGAGAUAUUAAGAAAGCAUGAAGACUCAAAAACUCAUAAAAAUAAUUUGAAAUCAUGGAUAGAGCUGGAAUUAAGUUUGAAAACUAGUCAGACAGCAGAUUCAGCUGAAUAAAGAUUAAUUAAUUCUGAAAUUAAAUAUUGGAGUGAAGUAAUUUUAUGCAUAAUAUAAUAUCACAUACAGUUAUUAAACUAUACAGUUAUAUCACAUAUAGUUAUUAAACUAUACAGUUAUAACAGUUAUAUAGUUAUUAAAUUGCUUGUUGAAAGUUCUCUACUUUCUCAGGGUAAAAGUGGCAAGCUUUAUGAACAUAAUAAUGGAAAUUUUGUGAAGCUAAUUCAAUUGCUAGCUGAAUUUGAACCAAAAAUAGAGGAAUAUAUUUGUAGAAUCCUCAAUAAUGAAGAAGAAGCAACAUAUUUAGGAAAAUAAUUCAAAAUGAAAUUAUUGGAUGAUAACAUAUUGUAUUAUUUGAAAUAAAUCUACGUUUCUAUGAAUAUUGAUUUUUUUUUUCAGCCCACCUAAAGUUAAACCUUGUUUGUUUGGCCCAAGUGUACCUAUGAGUUUGACAUCCUUGCUGUAGAGUAUAAAUACGACUAUUAUGCCCACUGCUUUCUAGUCUUGCAGAUUUCUUUGCUCCUGAUGACGAUGGGCCUGUACCUGUCUUCCCUCAAAAUCCAUUGAGAUCUUGACUUAAAUCUACCUCAAACUCAAGAACACAGUUUUAAGACCAUUGAUAUACAGCCUUACCAUAUCAGCAGAUGGACCCCAACCCUCCUCCGGAUCAUCUAUCUCUGGUGAUAUAGGAAGAUAAAGAAGGGCUGAAGUGUCAGAUGCUUCCUCAUCACUAAACAGAAGAACAUUGGUGAAAAUUUCAGAAACUCUGAUCUAUAUUACAAUGAUAAUAUAUUCCAGUAUCUUAUGCUGAAUGUAUAUACAGAAUAAUAUAUAGUUUUUCUUAUGCUUAAAGAAUGAUUAGAUAAAUGUAUGAAUAAUUUAGUCAAUAAAUAACAAAUUUAUAAUGUAUAUAGAAAUGAUUAUAGAUUAGAUAGACAGACUUGAAAAAUAAAUAUAUGAACAAACCCCCCUUCAGUCAAUUAAA